GGGGGGAGGGCUUGCGUUUUCACAUAAAACUCGAUACAGUGUAGAAUGUUUCUUUUUUUGCGGUCACACGCAAUCAAUACAACUUUCAACAACGGAUCUCUUGGCUCUCGCAUCGAUGAAGAACGCAGCGAAAUGCGAUACGUAAUGUGAAUUGCAGAAUUCAGUGAAUCAUCGAAUCUUUGAACGCACCUUGCGCCCCUUGGCAUUCCGAGGGGCACACCCGUUUGAGUGUCGUGAAAUCUUCAAAAUCCUUUUUUCUUCUUAAAGGGUUUUGGACUUGGAGGUUUAAUGCUCGCCCUUUCUUUUGAAAGUGAGCUCCUCUCAAAAGAAUUAGUGGGGUCCGCUUUGCUGAUCCUUGACGUGAUAAAAUGUUUCUACGUUUUGGGUUUAGCUCUGUUCCUUGGACGCCUGCUCCUAACCGUCUCACUGACAAUGAUGGUGCUCUGGUCACCGACCGUCUACAUCGGCGGGAGGCUGGACCCACGAAAAGAAAACCUUGACCUCAAAUCGGGUGAGACUACCCGCUGAACUUAAGCAUAUCAAUAAGCGGAGGAAAAGAAACUAACAAGGAUUCCCCUAGUAACUGCGAGUGAAGCGGGAAAAGCUCAAAUUUAAAAUCUGGUGGUCUUUGGCCAUCCGAGU
RNAcentral lists this ribosomal RNA (642 nucleotides) under uncultured fungus. RNAcentral's name for it is "eukaryotic LSU rRNA". The stretch from base 81 to 234 matches the Rfam family "5.8S ribosomal RNA". Lineage: Eukaryota; Fungi. The record is from RNAcentral.